UCUUAUUUGCAUUCUUUAAUAAUAAAAUAAUUAUAAUGGAAGUCGGAGAGUUCGCACCACGUAGAAAAAGUUCUAACAGAGAUUAUUGUGCAGUAACAGGUUGUGGGAGCACAGCAGCCAAUAAUUUGAGUGUUAGUUUUCAUCGCUUCCCGAGGCCGAACGAACGCUUUGUAAACAAGCAGAAUAUCUUCGGCAACUCCGAAAAGAUAAAUUUGUUUAGUUCAUGAAAAUUGCUUUAUAUAUCUCAAAUAUCACUCGAAGGACAACAGUGUGUUCACUGCAUUUCCAAAAAAGUCAUUAUUUUUACAUAUUUUUAGUUGCAAAAGGUCAAAUGCAUAACAUGUAAGACCAGCUUUGCAUGUGCAAGAGCAAUGAACAAUAUCGCCACCUGUCGAUAUUUCACCAUUAAUUUCGUGAGGAUGUUUAUCUUUGAUAGCAAUAGUCUGCAAGCAGAUAGCUUCGAAGCUGAUCGUUGUCCAGGAUUAGUACCAGCAUAAUCACAAAUAUUCUUCAUGGAUAUCAUUUUUUGGCCGAAAACUAACUACCAUCC
Long non-coding RNA from Nasonia vitripennis (jewel wasp), 550 nucleotides. RefSeq lists it as uncharacterized. Lineage: Eukaryota; Metazoa; Arthropoda; Insecta; Hymenoptera; Pteromalidae. The transcript is spliced from 3 exons. The record is from RefSeq and is a predicted model, not a curated record.